CCUUUUUACGCAUAAUAAACCACCUAUAUAUAUUUUACUGUUCCUAUUUAAUUAGAAACAGGUAUAUAAAAACGUGCUACAUGGUUUAUUAGUUCCUAUUAAACAGACUAAAAUACAAAUAAUACUACCAAAAGGUUAUAAAAAAAACCGUAGUUUGGUAGUAUCCUUUCAUGCAAUAAAUUAUCAAUUACUUUCAAACGACGGUUCAAGAGCCGUCGUUUUAUAUAUUUUAUAAACA
This is a non-coding RNA of Globicatella sp. HMSC072A10, 238 nucleotides long. The record is from Rfam. Lineage: Bacteria; Bacillati; Bacillota; Bacilli; Lactobacillales; Aerococcaceae.